GAUGAACGCUGGCGGCGUGCCUAGUACAUGCAAGUCGAGCGAACAGACGAAGAGCUUGCUCCUCUGACGUUAGCGGCGGACGGGUGAGUAACACGUGGAUAACCUACCUAUAAGACUGGGAUAACUUCGGGAAACCGGAGCUAAUACCGGAUAAUAUAUUGAACCGCAUGGUUCAAUAGUGAAAGACGGUUUUGCUGUCACUUAUAGAUGGAUCCGCGCCGCAUUAGCUAGUUGGUAAGGUAACGGCUUACCAAGGCAACGAUGCGUAGCCGACCUGAGAGGGUGAUCGGCCACACUGGAACUGAGACACGGUCCAGACUCCUACGGGAGGCAGCAGUAGGGAAUCUUCCGCAAUGGGCGAAAGCCUGACGGAGCAACGCCGCGUGAGUGAUGAAGGUCUUCGGAUCGUAAAACUCUGUUAUUAGGGAAGAACAAAUGUGUAAGUAACUAUGCACGUCUUGACGGUACCUAAUCAGAAAGCCACGGCUAACUACGUG
This 497-nucleotide ribosomal RNA is filed under the name uncultured bacterium. Its description in RNAcentral is "partial 16S ribosomal RNA". It matches the Rfam family "Bacterial small subunit ribosomal RNA", at positions 28 to 507 of the family's 1533-position model. The record is from RNAcentral.